This 73-nucleotide transfer RNA is filed under the name Gemmatimonadaceae bacterium. RNAcentral describes it as "tRNA-Glu". It matches the Rfam family "tRNA". From Rfam's summary of the family: Transfer RNA (tRNA) molecules are approximately 80 nucleotides in length. The record is from RNAcentral. Lineage: Bacteria; Pseudomonadati; Gemmatimonadota; Gemmatimonadia; Gemmatimonadales; Gemmatimonadaceae. RNAcentral also lists the same sequence under 3 other names.
GCCCCUAUCGUCUAGUGGCCUAGGAUAUCGCCCUCUCACGGCGAAGACCGGGGUUCGAGUCCCCGUAGGGGUA